AAUAUUGGACAAUGGGGAAAACCCUGAUGCAGCGACGCCGCGUGAGUGAAGAAGUAUAUCGGUAUGUAAAGCUAUAUCAGCAGGGAAGAAAAUGACGGUACCUGACUAAGAAGCCCCGGCUAACAACGUGCCAGCAGCCGAGGUAAUACGCAGGGGGCAAGCGUUAUCCGGCUUUACUGGGUGUAAAGGGAGCGUAGGUGGUGCGUCAAGUCAGAUGUGGAAGCCCAGGGCUCAACCCCGGGACUGCAUUUGAAACUGUCGAACUAGAGUGCAGGAGAGGUAAGUGGAAUUCCUAGUGUAGCGGUGAAAUGCGUAGAUAUUAGGAGGAACACCAGUGGCGAAGGCGGCUUACUGGACUGUAACUGACACUGAGGCUCGAAAGCGUGGGGAGCAAACAGG
This 399-nucleotide ribosomal RNA is filed under the name uncultured bacterium. RNAcentral describes it as "partial 16S ribosomal RNA". It matches the Rfam family "Bacterial small subunit ribosomal RNA", at positions 360 to 776 of the family's 1533-position model. The record is from RNAcentral.